CCUACGGGGAGCAGCAGUGGGGAAUAUUGCACAAUGGGGGAAACCCUGAUGCAGCGACGCCGCGUGAGUGAAGAAGGAUUUCGGUAUGUAAAGCUCAAUCAGUAGGGAAGAAAAUGACGGUACCUGACUAAGAAGCCCAGGCUAACUAAGUUCCAGCAGCCGCGGUAAUACGGAGGGGGCAAGCGUUAUCCGGAUUUACUGGGUGUAAAGGGAGCGUAGACGGCCAGACAAGUCAGAAGUGAAAGCCCAGGGCUCAACCCUGGGACUGCUUUUGAAACUGGCGGGCUGGAGUGCAGGAGAGGUAGGCGGAAUUCCUGGUGUAGCGGUGAAAUGCGUAGAUAUUAGGAGGAACACCAGUGGCGAAGGCGGCUUACUGGACUGUAACUGACGUUGAGGCUCGAAAGCGUGGGGAGCAAACAGGAUUAGAUACCCUUGUAGUC
Molecule: ribosomal RNA, 440 nt
Filed under: uncultured bacterium
Lineage: Bacteria
Description: partial 16S ribosomal RNA
Rfam family: Bacterial small subunit ribosomal RNA
Source: RNAcentral